This 253-nucleotide ribosomal RNA is filed under the name uncultured bacterium. Its description in RNAcentral is "partial 16S ribosomal RNA". It matches the Rfam family "Bacterial small subunit ribosomal RNA", at positions 524 to 776 of the family's 1533-position model. The record is from RNAcentral.
UACGAAGGGGGCUAGCGUUGCUCGGAAUUACUGGGCGUAAAGCGCACGUAGGCGGUCUUUUAAGUCGGGGGUGAAAUCCUGGAGCUCAACUCCAGAACUGCCUUGAUACUGGAAGAUCUUGAGUUCGGGAGAGGUGAGUGGAACUGCGAGUGUAGAGGUGAAAUUCGUAGAUAUUCGCAAGAACACCAGUGGCGAAGGCGGCUGUCUGGUCCGGUUCUGACGCUGAGGCGCGAAAGCGUAGGGAGCAAACAGG